CACAAGUCAUUCGGCGCCAAAUCAGAGAAACAGCCGACAACCGUGCCUUCACUGCAGUACCAGCCAAACAAAGGCAGCACCUGUUUCUCCCGCUGGGUGACGCGGUAGCUAGCUAGCAACGAUUGCUGGUUCAUUGGCAUUGGACCGUCUCUUUACUUCAAUAGCUAGCUUGCUAAACAAGUUGGCAUAUUGCUUGCUUUGGUGUAUUGGUCGGCCCCUGGACGCGUGACAUGCCCGUGUUUGUAGAAGACCCCGCUCAGUUCUCCAAGCCGAGACUGAAGUCGGAGUUAAUAGCCCACAACGUCACCCUGCCUGCGGUGGAGAGCAAGAAGCAAGUUUAUGUGGAACUAUAUUUGAAACAUAUCGUUCAGAAAAGUGCUGCAGAUUUCUCUAGUGAUGAGGAAGAUGACGAUGUUGUGGAAGUACAGGACAGUCAGGACUUUGAAGAGGAGAAAGAUCCAGAGAUGUUAGACCCCAGUGUACUGACAGAUGAUGAGCUUAAGACCACACUACUCAAAUAUGGAGUGGAAGCUGGACCCAUUGUAGCCACCACUAGGUCUAUAUAUGAGAGGAAGUUGCAGAGGCUACUAAAACCUGCCCAGCCCAGGCAGAACGGUGGCACAGGGGAUGCAGACCAGUACUCAGACAGUGAAGGGGACGAAGAGUCAGUUUCACAACAAGGAAGCCCAGAGACGGUUUCAUUAAUGGAGGAAAACCUGCACGUUGACAUGCGGAUGGUACCGCACUCAUGGAAUAAUAAAAACACGGAAUAUCGCUAUCAUCAGUGUUUUAUGCCUUCGUCCAGAAUGGUGUCGCCCCAGUCUGUGUCUCUGAGAGGUGGUUGUGAUGUUGACUCCUCUUUGUCCUCUAAGAGCUUCAGCAUUACUCAAAUGGUGGAGGAGGGAAGUUUGUUUUGAACUGAUUUUGGUAUCUAGUCUUAAUGAUCAUAUUUACUAUGUAAAAUAUGCAAUUCUAUCAAUCUCCACUGGAGUGAUAUGCUGUAUUUACCUUUACCUGUGGAACUAUAGUUUGAGAGUCGGAUCCCUCUCUCCAGUAGUGGACCAGAAAUCAAGCGAGGGAACAACAGGAGUAGUAAUCAAGGACCUUGCCCCAGGCCCUACUGGCAGGAAGCGGCGAAGGUGGACAAGUAUACGAUGACUAACAGAUCCCUAUUCAUCACCCCUAAGACAUCCAUUUUCAAACGGCAAAUCAAGGCACAUACAUUAGCUUGUUUACCCAAGUCUUUUAGAUUAUUUUUUUACGCUCUUUCAACAGUUCAUAUACUUGUGCUUUCAGGUCUACAUGCAGAUCUGCAGGGCUCAUUCUAUUACUCUGUUUAUAAAUUGACUGUCAGUAUGUGAGUUUAAUUGGGUGGGUCUUCAUGUAUAUAGCCAAGCCAGUGGUUUAAUUAGUGCUCAUUCAUACCUAAAUUAAUGUUUUACUGAGAAAAGGUUGAUAGAUUAGUUGACUGUACUUUCACUUGAGGACUUUAAUCUUAUGGUCUAGCUAGCACAAUAAUCACAAGUGUCUUUAUCUGACUUUCCUGUUUCCCCCAACUUUUAAUGAUCUAUUUUUGGCAUUCCACCUGACCUGUUUUAAGGUGGUGAGGGCGGACACUGGUGUGGACACUUCUCUUUCCUCUCAUCUAUUUUGGUGUGUGUCAGUCUCUGAUAUGUGCUUCUGUUUGUCCGGU
Molecule: RNA transcript, 1693 nt
Organism: Oncorhynchus nerka (sockeye salmon)
Lineage: Eukaryota; Metazoa; Chordata; Actinopteri; Salmoniformes; Salmonidae
Gene: lemd1
Gene name: LEM domain containing 1
Exons: 8
Source: RefSeq, a predicted model, not a curated record